CCCGGGCCUUGUACACACCGCCCGUCACACCAUGGGAGCUGACUCAACCAGAAAACGUUAUCGCUAACCGUAAGGAGGCGACCGUUGAAGGUGGGGUUGGUGACUGGGGUG
Molecule: ribosomal RNA, 111 nt
Filed under: uncultured bacterium
Lineage: Bacteria
Description: partial 16S ribosomal RNA
Rfam family: Bacterial small subunit ribosomal RNA
Source: RNAcentral